UACGUAGGCAGCAAGCGUUGUUCGGAAUUACUGGGCGUAAAGCGCACGUAGGCGGCUUCUUAAGUCGGUGGUGAAAUCCUGGAGCUCAACUCCAGAACUGCCUUCGAUACUGGGAAGCUCGAGUCCGGGAGAGGUGAGUGGAACUGCGAGUGUAGAGGUGAAAUUCGUAGAUAUUCGCAAGAACACCAGUGGCGAAGGCGGCUCACUGGCCCGGUACUGACGCUGAGGUGCGAAAGCGUGGGGAGCAAACAGG
This 253-nucleotide ribosomal RNA is filed under the name uncultured bacterium. RNAcentral's name for it is "partial 16S ribosomal RNA". It matches the Rfam family "Bacterial small subunit ribosomal RNA", at positions 524 to 776 of the family's 1533-position model. The record is from RNAcentral.